RNAcentral lists this ribosomal RNA (1284 nucleotides) under Psolodesmus mandarinus. RNAcentral's name for it is "16S ribosomal RNA". The stretch from base 595 to 1284 matches the Rfam family "Archaeal large subunit ribosomal RNA", at positions 1423 to 2800 of the family's 2987-position model. The record is from RNAcentral. Lineage: Eukaryota; Metazoa; Arthropoda; Insecta; Odonata; Calopterygidae.
UAAUAAUUCCCUUACUGUUUUUUAUUUAUUCUUAUUGGAGAAGUAACUUUAUUUUUAGUACAUUAUUGAAAUAAUUUUGUUGGUGAUAGUUUAUUAGUACCGUGAGGGAAUAGGUGAAAUAUUGUGAAAACUUUAAUUUUUUGAAAGUAUGAUUAACUUACAGUACCUUUUGUAUCAGGGUUGAUUUAUUAUAUUUAAUGUAUUUUUAUUUCUCGAUUUUGCAAGAGCUGAUUUAUUAAUUUGGUUACUGUAGCAUAAGUAUCAUUAAUAUUUAUCUGAGGAGAUAUUUUAUUCGUUUGUAAGGGUAUCUAGUUCUUUGGGAGUUAAAUUAAAUUUAUUUUUAUUACUUAUUUAUUUUAUUAUUGAAAUAUUUAUUUGGUAAUUUAUUGAUUGUAGGGGCUAAUCUCUGCAUUUUUCUAUAAUUGGCUAAUUCUUAGGUUUAGUAGGGUUAAAAUCAUCCUUCUUUUAAUUACGUUAUAGUUUGUUCUAUUUUAUUUAGAUUUAUUGGUUUUUAGUAUUUUACUGAAGUUUUUUGUUUAAUUUUUUAUCAUUAUAAAUAAUGAUUGAAUUAGUAUAGUUUAUUGUUUUUUAUUACUUUAGUGGGAUCUUUUUUUAAGGAACUCGGCAAAUUUAGUUGCUCGCCUGUUUAUCAAAAACAUGUCCUCAUGUUUAUUAUAUGAGGUCAGGCCUGCCCGGUGAUUUAUUUAACGGCCGCGGUAUUUUGACCGUGCAAAGGUAGCAUAAUCAUUAGUCUUUUAAUAGGAGGCUGGAAUGAAGGGCUUGACGAGGCACUAUCUGUCUCAAUUUAAUAAUCUGGACUUUAGCUUUUGAGUGAAAAGGCUCAAAUUUUUUUGGAAGACGAGAAGACCCUAUAGAGCUUGAUGGUCUUUUUUCUAUCUUUUUUGUUUUAUUUUUAGUGGUAUUAACUUCGACUUUUUUGUUGGGGCGACAAAAGAUAUAUAUUUAACUUUUAUUAUUUAUUUUACAUUAAUGUAUGGGCUUUAGAUCCAGUAUUACUGAUUAAUAGAAUAAGUUACCUUAGGGAUAACAGCGUAAUCUUCCUUCAGAGCUCAAAUUUACAGGAAGGCUUGCGACCUCGAUGUUGGAUUAAGAUAAUUGUUAGGUGUAGCAGCCUAAUUAAUAGGUCUGUUCGACCUUUAAAUUCUUACAUGAUCUGAGUUCAGACCGGUUUAAGCCAGGUCGGUUUCUAUCUCCAAUUUUUUUGUAAUUUUUAGUACGAAAGGACCAUUAUUAUAAGAUAUUCUUUGUUUUUGACUUCUAUUA